This 464-nucleotide ribosomal RNA is filed under the name uncultured Pseudomonas sp. RNAcentral describes it as "bacterial SSU rRNA". It matches the Rfam family "Bacterial small subunit ribosomal RNA", at positions 338 to 795 of the family's 1533-position model. Lineage: Bacteria; Pseudomonadati; Pseudomonadota; Gammaproteobacteria; Pseudomonadales; Pseudomonadaceae. The record is from RNAcentral.
CCUACGGGUGGCUGCAGUGGGGAAUAUUGGACAAUGGGCGAAAGCCUGAUCCAGCCAUGCCGCGUGUGUGAAGAAGGUCUUCGGAUUGUAAAGCACUUUAAGUUGGGAGGAAGGGUUGUAGAUUAAUACUCUGCAAUUUUGACGUUACCGACAGAAUAAGCACCGGUAACUCCUUUGCAACAGGCCCCGUAAUUCAAGGGGGGCCAAGGUUAAUCCGAAUUUAUGGGCGUAAAGCGCGCGUAGGUGGUUUGUUAAGUUGGAUGUGAAAUCCCCGGGCUCAACCUGGGAACUGCAUUCAAAACUGACUGACUAGAGUAUGGUAGAGGGUGGUGGAAUUUCCUGUGUAGCGGUGAAAUGCGUAGAUAUAGGAAGGAACACCAGUGGCGAAGGCGACCACCUGGACUAAUACUGACACUGAGGUGCGAAAGCGUGGGGAGCAAACAGGAUUAGAUACCCUAGUAGUC